This 1427-nucleotide unclassified non-coding RNA is filed under the name Eurytemora carolleeae. RNAcentral's name for it is "flotillin-1". Lineage: Eukaryota; Metazoa; Arthropoda; Copepoda; Calanoida; Temoridae. The record is from RNAcentral.
CAUUAAAUGAUUAUUAUCAGGAUGUUGUCAUCGGAAACCCCUACUAGUACCUGGAGGAAGAGCUUUUGUUUGGCCGGGUAUUCAAUAUGUUCAAAGAAUAAAUCUGACCACCAUGACGUUAUCUGUGACCUCCUCUGGGGUGUACACUAGUCAGGGUGUCAAUAUCACCGUGACAGGAAUAGCUCAGGUUAAGAUCCAGGGACAGAAUGAGGAGAUGCUCCUGGCAGCCUGUGAACAGUUUCUUGGCAAGACAGAGGAUGAAAUACAACAGGUUGCACUAGAGACACUAGAGGGUCAUCAGCGAGCCAUCAUGGGGUCAAUGACUGUGGAGGAGAUCUACAAGGACCGGAAGAAGUUCUCAAAGCAGGUGUUUGAGGUGGCCAGCAGCGACCUGGUCAACAUGGGGAUCACGGUGGUCUCAUAUACCCUUAAAGAUAUCAGGGAUGAGGAGGGGUAUCUUAAGGCUCUAGGAAUGGCCCGAACAGCUGAAGUUAAAAGAGAUGCUAGAAUAGGAGAAGCAGAAGCUAAGAGGGACGCACAGAUUAAAGAAGCAAUUGCAGAAGAAGAAAGGAUGGCAUCUAGAUUACUUAACGAUACUGAGAUCGCCAAAGCAAAGCGUGAUUUUGAGCUGAAGAAAGCAGCUUAUGACGUGGAAGUACAAACAAAGAAAGCAGAAGCAGAAUUAGCCUAUGAGUUACAAGCAGCAAAGACAAAACAAAGAAUUAAAGAAGAGAACAUGGAAAUAAAGGUGAUGAUGAUAAUGAUGAUACUCCAGGUUAUUGAACGAAGACAAGAAAUUAAUAUACAAGAGCAGGAAAUUUUAAGACGAGAAAAAGAAUUGGACAGUUCUGUGAGAAGACCAGCGGAAGCUGAAAAGUAUAGACUAGAGAAGAUUUCAGAAGCUAACAGGAACAAGAUGAUCAUGGAAGCUGAAGCAGAAGCAGAAGCUAUUGCACUGAAAGGAGAUGCUGAGGCGUAUGCCAUAGAAAUCAAAGCUAAGGCUGAAGCUGAACAGAUGGCUAAGAAGGCAGAUGCCUGGAAGGAAUAUAGAGAAGCUGCCAUGUUGGACAUGAUGCUCACUACACUACCAAAGAUUGCUGCCGAGGUAGCUGCCCCUCUCUCCCAAACGAAGAAGAUCACGAUGGUUAGCGAUGGUUCAGGGGAAAUAGGAGCCUCCAGGAUAACCGGCGAGGUUCUGGAUAUAAUGGUCCGUGUACCGGGGAUGGUGAAGACAAUGACCGGAGUUGAUAUUUGCAACGUAAGACCAGGACGAACAAUGUGCUAAAUGUACUGCAGAUAUUGUACUGCACCUAGAUGUUCUAGAUGGAUGUUUACAUAUGAAUGUUGGAGGGGGCCCACCUAGAAGUCCACAACCAAGAAUCCGAAUUAGAACAUAAUUAUUUCGACAUACAGACAUAGGAAUAUUU